Molecule: long non-coding RNA, 312 nt
Organism: Oxyura jamaicensis (ruddy duck)
Lineage: Eukaryota; Metazoa; Chordata; Aves; Anseriformes; Anatidae
Exons: 3
Source: RefSeq, a predicted model, not a curated record
UAGGGGAACAGAAGGUGUUAAAUUAGACAGAUGUAAGCAGAGAAAACAACACCUAGGAAAACUGAGUCUUCUGCAAAACUGAGCAGUUGUACAGCUUAACUGGAAAUGAGGAUUUUCAUUACCUUGCUAAGAAGCUAGAUUCUUUAGCUUUCCGUGGGCUUGCCAGGCUCUGCAGAUCAUGGGCUGGAAACCAAUGAUUUAGGCAGUAGAAGAUACUCUUCCCUUCCUCAGGAGUCAACUCUGUGUAAAACAGGCAUGUAACCCCGUGCCUCCAAAGAUAAUGCAAAAUAAAAACAGUAAUGCUUAUCCAGC